RNAcentral lists this ribosomal RNA (2904 nucleotides) under Klebsiella michiganensis. RNAcentral describes it as "23S ribosomal RNA". It matches the Rfam family "Bacterial large subunit ribosomal RNA". The record is from RNAcentral. RNAcentral also lists the same sequence under 1 other name. Lineage: Bacteria; Pseudomonadati; Pseudomonadota; Gammaproteobacteria; Enterobacterales; Enterobacteriaceae.
UUAAGCGACUAAGCGUACACGGUGGAUGCCCUGGCAGUCAGAGGCGAUGAAGGACGUGCUAAUCUGCGAAAAGCGUCGGUAAGGUGAUAUGAACCGUUACAGCCGGCGAUGUCCGAAUGGGGAAACCCAGUGCAAUUCGUUGCACUAUCGUUAACUGAAUACAUAGGUUAACGAGGCGAACCGGGGGAACUGAAACAUCUAAGUACCCCGAGGAAAAGAAAUCAACCGAGAUUCCCCCAGUAGCGGCGAGCGAACGGGGAGCAGCCCGGAGUCUGAAUCAGCUUGUGUGUUAGUGGAAGCGUCUGGAAAGUCGCAGGGUACAGGGUGAUACUCCCGUACACUAAAGCACACAGGUUGUGAACUCGAAGAGUAGGGCGGGACACGUGGUAUCCUGUCUGAAUAUGGGGGGACCAUCCUCCAAGGCUAAAUACUCCUGACUGACCGAUAGUGAACCAGUACCGUGAGGGAAAGGCGAAAAGAACCCCGGCGAGGGGAGUGAAAAAGAACCUGAAACCGUGUACGUACAAGCAGUAGGAGCCCACUUGUUGGGUGACUGCGUACCUUUUGUAUAAUGGGUCAGCGACUUAUAUUCUGUAGCAAGGUUAACCGUAUAGGGGAGCCGCAGGGAAACCGAGUCUUAACUGGGCGUUAAGUUGCAGGGUAUAGACCCGAAACCCGGUGAUCUAGCCAUGGGCAGGUUGAAGGUUGGGUAACACUAACUGGAGGACCGAACCGACUAAUGUUGAAAAAUUAGCGGAUGACUUGUGGCUGGGGGUGAAAGGCCAAUCAAACCGGGAGAUAGCUGGUUCUCCCCGAAAGCUAUUUAGGUAGCGCCUCGUGAACUCAUCUUCGGGGGUAGAGCACUGUUUCGGCUAGGGGGUCAUCCCGACUUACCAACCCGAUGCAAACUACGAAUACCGAAGAAUGUUAUCACGGGAGACACACGGCGGGUGCUAACGUCCGUCGUGAAGAGGGAAACAACCCAGACCGCCAGCUAAGGUCCCAAAGUCAUGGUUAAGUGGGAAACGAUGUGGGAAGGCCCAGACAGCCAGGAUGUUGGCUUAGAAGCAGCCAUCAUUUAAAGAAAGCGUAAUAGCUCACUGGUCGAGUCGGCCUGCGCGGAAGAUGUAACGGGGCUAAACCAUGCACCGAAGCUGCGGCAGCGACACUAUGUGUUGUUGGGUAGGGGAGCGUUCUGUAAGCCGUUGAAGGUGGCCUGUGAGGGUUGCUGGAGGUAUCAGAAGUGCGAAUGCUGACAUAAGUAACGAUAAUGCGGGUGAAAAACCCGCACGCCGGAAGACCAAGGGUUCCUGUCCAACGUUAAUCGGGGCAGGGUGAGUCGACCCCUAAGGCGAGGCCGAAAGGCGUAGUCGAUGGGAAACAGGUUAAUAUUCCUGUACUCGGUGUUACUGCGAAGGGGGGACGGAGAAGGCUAUGUUGGCCGGGCGACGGUUGUCCCGGUUUAAGCAUGUAGGCGGAUGUUCCAGGUAAAUCCGGAACGUUACUAACGCUGAGGUGUGAUGACGAGGCACUACGGUGCUGAAGUGACAAAUGCCCUGCUUCCAGGAAAAGCCUCUAAGCAUCAGGUAACAUCAAAUCGUACCCCAAACCGACACAGGUGGUCAGGUAGAGAAUACCAAGGCGCUUGAGAGAACUCGGGUGAAGGAACUAGGCAAAAUGGUGCCGUAACUUCGGGAGAAGGCACGCUGAUGGUAAGUGAAGCGACUUGCUCGUGGAGCUGAAAUCAGUCGAAGAUACCAGCUGGCUGCAACUGUUUAUUAAAAACACAGCACUGUGCAAACACGAAAGUGGACGUAUACGGUGUGACGCCUGCCCGGUGCCGGAAGGUUAAUUGAUGGGGUUAUCCGUAAGGAGAAGCUCUUGAUCGAAGCCCCGGUAAACGGCGGCCGUAACUAUAACGGUCCUAAGGUAGCGAAAUUCCUUGUCGGGUAAGUUCCGACCUGCACGAAUGGCGUAAUGAUGGCCAGGCUGUCUCCACCCGAGACUCAGUGAAAUUGAACUCGCUGUGAAGAUGCAGUGUACCCGCGGCAAGACGGAAAGACCCCGUGAACCUUUACUAUAGCUUGACACUGAACACUGGUCCUUGAUGUGUAGGAUAGGUGGGAGGCUUUGAAGUGUGGACGCCAGUCUGCAUGGAGCCAUCCUUGAAAUACCACCCUUUAAUGGCUGGUGUUCUAACGUGGGCCCCUGAUCGGGGUUGCGGACAGUGUCUGGUGGGUAGUUUGACUGGGGCGGUCUCCUCCUAAAGAGUAACGGAGGAGCACGAAGGUCAGCUAAUCCUGGUCGGACAUCAGGAGGUUAGUGCAAUGGCAUAAGCUGGCUUGACUGCGAGCGUGACGGCGCGAGCAGGUGCGAAAGCAGGUCAUAGUGAUCCGGUGGUUCUGAAUGGAAGGGCCAUCGCUCAACGGAUAAAAGGUACUCCGGGGAUAACAGGCUGAUACCGCCCAAGAGUUCAUAUCGACGGCGGUGUUUGGCACCUCGAUGUCGGCUCAUCACAUCCUGGGGCUGAAGUAGGUCCCAAGGGUAUGGCUGUUCGCCAUUUAAAGUGGUACGCGAGCUGGGUUUAGAACGUCGUGAGACAGUUCGGUCCCUAUCUGCCGUGGGCGCUGGAGAAUUGAGGGGGGCUGCUCCUAGUACGAGAGGACCGGAGUGGACGCAUCACUGGUGUUCGGGUUGUCAUGCCAAUGGCAUUGCCCGGUAGCUAAAUGCGGAAGAGAUAAGUGCUGAAAGCAUCUAAGCACGAAACUUGCCCCGAGAUGAGUUCUCCCUGACCCUUUAAGGGUCCUGAAGGAACGUUGAAGACGACGACGUUGAUAGGCCGGGUGUGUAAGCGCAGCGAUGCGUUGAGCUAACCGGUACUAAUAAACCGUGAGGCUUAACCUU